This 482-nucleotide ribosomal RNA is filed under the name uncultured bacterium. Its description in RNAcentral is "partial 16S ribosomal RNA". It matches the Rfam family "Bacterial small subunit ribosomal RNA", at positions 28 to 507 of the family's 1533-position model. The record is from RNAcentral.
GAUGAACGCUAGCGGCAGGCCUAAUACAUGCAAGUCGAACGAGAUUACGAGGCUUGCUUCUUAUGAAAGUGGCGCACGGGUGCGUAACGCGUAUGCAACCUACCUUAAUCAGGGGGAUAGCCCGAAGAAAUUCGGAUUAAGACCGCAUAAAAACACAGGAUAGCAUUAUCCAAUGUUCAAAUAUUUAUAGGAUUAAGAUGGGCAUGCGUGUCAUUAGCUAGUUGGCGGGGUAACGGCCCACCAAGGCGACGAUGACUAGGGGAUCUGAGAGGAUGACCCCCCACACUGGUACUGAGACACGGACCAGACGCCUACGGGAGGCAGCAGUAAGGAAUAUUGGUCAAUGGAGGGAACUCUGAACCAGCCAUGCCGCGUGCAGGAAGACAGCCCUCGGGGUCGUAAACUGCUUUUAUUCGGGAAUAAACCUUUCUACGUGUAGGAAGCUGAAUGUACCGAAGGAAUAAGGAUCGGCUAACUCCGUG